RNAcentral lists this ribosomal RNA (478 nucleotides) under uncultured bacterium. RNAcentral describes it as "partial 16S ribosomal RNA". It matches the Rfam family "Bacterial small subunit ribosomal RNA", at positions 28 to 523 of the family's 1533-position model. The record is from RNAcentral.
GACGAACGCUGGCGGCGUGCUUAACACAUGCAAGUCGAACGGUAAGGCCCUUCGGGGUACACGAGUGGCGAACGGGUGAGUAACACGUGGGUGAUCUGCCCUGCACCUCGGGAUAAGCCUGGGAAACUGGGUCUAAUACCGGAUAGGACCACUGCCUGCAUGGGUGGUGGUGGAAAGCUUUUGCGGUGUGGGAUGGGCCCGCGGCCUAUCAGCUUGUUGGUGGGCUGAUGGCCUACCAAGGCGACGACGGGUAGCCGGCCUGGGAGGGUGACCAGCCACACUGGGACUGAGAUACGGCCCAGACUCCUACGGGAGGCAGCAGUGGGGAAUAUUGCACAAUGGGCGCAAGCCUGAUGCAGCGACGCCGCGUGAGGGAUGACGGCCUUCGGGUUGUAAACCUCUUUCAGCACCGACGAAGCGCAAGUGACGGUAGGUGCAGAAGAAGGACCGGCCAACUACGUGCCAGCAGCCGCCGUAC